UUAAUUAAAACUGAUUAUAAGCCAAAGUUGUGCGAUGCAAUGAUACAGAAAAAACUGAAAGAUGGUGUAAUUCCAACAGUUUUCAGAAACAAGUAAAGAAAAGAAAAACAAAAAAUUCUUUAAAGUCAUCCAUUCAACAGACCAAAUUUAAUGAUUCAAACUCAGAGAAUGUGAUUGUAAAUUUUGAUGAACUUUUGGAAAGUGCCGAGCAGCUUGUAACCGUACAAGAAAGCGACUUUGGUGAAUGUGAAGAAAUAUCAGUUAUGGAUUAUGAGUCAAGCAGUGCCGCUACUUUUGUAGAUGCUGAUUGUCAAUACACAAUACUCACACAACAACUGAAUUUUCUUCGUUUAGAUUUAUUAAAGCAAAAUGAUACUGCAAUUCAUUACUACACUGGAUUUUCCAACUACAAUCAGUUUCAAUUUUUUUUUUCGCUCACUUGGACCAGCUGCUGUCGAUUUAAAUUAUAAACCCUUAAACCUGUCACCAGAAGAACAACUAUUUAUAACACUGUUAAAAUUACGACAAGCCAAAGAAAAUAAAGAAAUUGCCAUCUUGUAUAACA
Ciona intestinalis (vase tunicate) is the source of this 565-nucleotide non-coding RNA. Lineage: Eukaryota; Metazoa; Chordata; Ascidiacea; Phlebobranchia; Cionidae. The record is from RefSeq and is a predicted model, not a curated record.